AGAGUUUGAUCCUGGCUCAGGACGAACGCUGGCGGCGUGCUUAACACAUGCAAGUCGAACGGUGACGGAGGAGCUUGCUCCUCCUGAUCAGUGGCGAACGGGUGAGUAACACGUGAGCAAUCUGCCCCUGACUCUGGGAUAACCUCGGGAAACCGAAGCUAAUACCGGAUACGAAGCGCGAAGGCAUCUUCAGCGCUUGGAAAGAAUUUCGGUCAGGGAUGAGCUCGCGGCCUAUCAGUUAGUUGGUGAGGUAACGGCUCACCAAGACGACGACGGGUAGCCGGCCUGAGAGGGUGACCGGCCACACUGGGACUGAGACACGGCCCAGACUCCUACGGGAGGCAGCAGUGGGGAAUAUUGCACAAUGGGCGCAAGCCUGAUGCAGCAACGCCGCGUGAGGGAUGACGGCCUUCGGGUUGUAAACCUCUUUUAGCAGGGAAGAAGCGAAAGUGACGGUACCUGCAGAAAAAGCACCGGCUAACUACGUGCCAGCAGCCGCGGUAAUACGUAGGGUGCAAGCGUUGUCCGGAAUUAUUGGGCGUAAAGAGCUCGUAGGCGGUUUGUCGCGUCUGCUGUGAAAACGCGAGGCUCAACCUCGCGCCUGCAGUGGGUACGGGCAAACUAGAGUGCGGUAGGGGAGAUUGGAAUUCCUGGUGUAGCGGUGGAAUGCGCAGAUAUCAGGAGGAACACCGAUGGCGAAGGCAGAUCUCUGGGCCGUAACUGACGCUGAGGAGCGAAAGCGUGGGGAGCGAACAGGAUUAGAUACCCUAGUAGUCC
Molecule: ribosomal RNA, 777 nt
Filed under: uncultured bacterium
Lineage: Bacteria
Description: bacterial SSU rRNA
Rfam family: Bacterial small subunit ribosomal RNA
Source: RNAcentral